UCUCCAAAUAAAUGACACAUCAU
This 23-nucleotide small nuclear RNA is filed under the name Arabidopsis thaliana (thale cress). Its description in RNAcentral is "snRNA_08274". Lineage: Eukaryota; Viridiplantae; Streptophyta; Magnoliopsida; Brassicales; Brassicaceae. The record is from RNAcentral.